CAGCCGCCGCGGGAAUACGGAGGGUGCAAGCGUUAAUCGGAAUUACUGGGCGUAAAGCGUGCGUAGGUGGUGGUUUAAGUCCGUUGUGAAAGCCCUGGGCUCAACCUGGGAAUUGCAGUGGAUACUGGGUCACUAGAGUGUGGUAGAGGAUAGUGGAAUUUCCGGUGUAGCAGUGAAAUGCGUAGAGAUCGGAAGGAACAUCUGUGGCGAAGGCGACUAUCUGGGCCAACACUGACACUGAGGCACGAAAGCGUGGGGAGCAAACAGGAUUAGAUACCCGGGUAGUCCCUGUCUCUUAUAC
This 301-nucleotide ribosomal RNA is filed under the name uncultured bacterium. Its description in RNAcentral is "partial 16S ribosomal RNA". It matches the Rfam family "Bacterial small subunit ribosomal RNA", at positions 509 to 807 of the family's 1533-position model. The record is from RNAcentral.